AUUCACGCCUGGAAAACGCUCUUCUGAGAGGAUCUGUGGAGGUCAACCCAGGAGAGAGAAGACAGGACUGAAGCACUGAAAGGGUCCUGCCGUAAGGGCGCAGGAUUGUAUAGAAUAUAUAAUAGCAGUAGCAGCUCUGUUUACGGAGCAUUAACCUUACGUGGAGUUAUUUCCUGCAUUUCCUCCUUUCGUCUUUACAAGGUAGCCGUUUGGCGUCGUGAGAGAUUGGGUCUCUCCACAUUGCCCCGGCUGCUCUCCAACCCCUGAGUUCAAGUGAUUCACCUCCCUUGGCCUCCCAAAGAACUGGGAUUACAGACGUGAGCCACCGUGCCUGGCUGAGAAGAUGGAUUUAAGAUAUGUUUUGGAGCGGAAAGUGAGCAGAAGAGGUGUGCAGUUUCCAGGCCUGGCCCAUACAGACCUCCAACAGGUGCUCCCCUGUGCUGUUACUCCUUCUGCCAACUGGAAGCAGAUGGUGACCAGGCUCUGGAGAAGGCAAGGCCUGAAGAUGGGAGAUUCCUAAGUGGAGGAGAACUGUGCCUUACUGACCUAAAUAUCCACUCAGUAUUGUUAUGUGAGAAUAAAUAAACUUGUGUUGACCGUU
RNAcentral lists this long non-coding RNA (601 nucleotides) under Pan troglodytes (chimpanzee). Its description in RNAcentral is "lincRNA". The record is from RNAcentral. Lineage: Eukaryota; Metazoa; Chordata; Mammalia; Primates; Hominidae.